AUUGAACGCUGGCGGCAUGCCUUACACAUGCAAGUCGAACGGCAGCACGGGUGCUUGCACCUGGUGGCGAGUGGCGAACGGGUGAGUAAUACAUCGGAACGUACCUUAUCGUGGGGGAUAACGCAGCGAAAGUUGCGCUAAUACCGCAUACGCCCUGAGGGGGAAAGCGGGGGACCGUAAGGCCUCGCGCGAUUAGAGCGGCCGAUGUCUGAUUAGCUUGUUGGUGAGGUAAAAGCUCACCAAGGCGAUGAUCAGUAGCUGGUCUGAGAGGACGAUCAGCCACACUGGGACUGAGACACGGCCCAGCCUCCUACGGGAGGCAGCAGUUGGGAAUUUUGGACAAUGGGGGCAACCCUGAUCCAGCAAUGCCGCGUGAGUGAAGAAGGCCUUCGGGUUGUAAAGCUCUUUUGUCAGGGAAGAAACAGCAGCUCUAACACAGUCUGCGAAUGACGGUACCUGAAGAAUAAGCACCGGCUAACUACGUGCCAGCCGCCGCAGUAA
Molecule: ribosomal RNA, 501 nt
Filed under: uncultured bacterium
Lineage: Bacteria
Description: partial 16S ribosomal RNA
Rfam family: Bacterial small subunit ribosomal RNA
Source: RNAcentral